RNAcentral lists this ribosomal RNA (268 nucleotides) under uncultured bacterium. Its description in RNAcentral is "partial 16S ribosomal RNA". It matches the Rfam family "Bacterial small subunit ribosomal RNA", at positions 88 to 354 of the family's 1533-position model. The record is from RNAcentral.
AUGGCGACCGGCGUACGGGUGAGUAACGCGUAUCCAACCUGCCCUUUACUAUGGGACAGCCCGUCGAAAGGCGGAUUAAUACCGUAUGUUGUCAUGUUGAUGCAUAUUUUCAUGACCAAAGGCUUCGGCCGGUAAAGGAUGGGGAUGCGUCUGAUUAGCUUGCCGGCGGGGUAACGGCCCACCGGGGCGACGAUCAGUAGGGGUUCUGAGAGGAAGGUCCCCCACAUUGGAACUGAGACACGGCCCAAACUCCUACGGAAGGCAGCAG